This 491-nucleotide non-coding RNA is filed under the name Drosophila virilis. RNAcentral's name for it is "Eukaryotic large subunit ribosomal RNA". It matches the Rfam family "Eukaryotic large subunit ribosomal RNA", at positions 2118 to 2620 of the family's 3401-position model. The record is from Rfam by way of RNAcentral. Lineage: Eukaryota; Metazoa; Arthropoda; Insecta; Diptera; Drosophilidae.
UAGGAACCGUGAGAUUAAGCCAUCGCGGCAGGUGCUCACGUUAAGCCCACUGACUUUCAUGUCCCUAUCUACUAUCUAGCGAAACCACAGCCAAGGGAACGGGCUUGGAAUAAUUAGCGGGGAAAGAAGACCCUUUUGAGCUUGACUCUAAUCUGGCAGUGUAAGGAGACAUAAGAGGUGUAGAAUAAGUGGGAGAUAUUAGACUUCGGUUUGGUAUCGACAAUGAAAUACCACUACUCUUAUUGUUUCCUUACUUACUUGAUUAAAUGGAACGUGUAUCAUUUCCUAGCCAUUAUACGGAUAUAAUUAUUAUGUCUUAUGGUAUUGGGUUUUGAUGCAAGCUUCUUGAUCAAAGUAUCACGAGUUUGUUAUAUAAUCGCAAACAAAUUCUUUAAUGAGAGAAUGCAUUUAUGUAUUAUUGAUUUAAAAAUUUGGUAUAACUCCAAUUACUCAGGUAUGAUCCAAUUCAAGGACAUUGCCAGGUAGGGAAU